GACCUGUCACUCGACCACACCC
RNAcentral lists this non-coding RNA (22 nucleotides) under Arabidopsis thaliana (thale cress). Lineage: Eukaryota; Viridiplantae; Streptophyta; Magnoliopsida; Brassicales; Brassicaceae. The record is from RNAcentral.